Molecule: ribosomal RNA, 253 nt
Filed under: uncultured bacterium
Lineage: Bacteria
Description: partial 16S ribosomal RNA
Rfam family: Bacterial small subunit ribosomal RNA
Source: RNAcentral
UACAGAGGUCCCAAGCGUUGUUCGGAUUCAUUGGGCGUAAAGGGUGCGUAGGCGGCGCGGUAAGUCGGGUGUGAAAUCUCGGAGCUUAACUCCGAAACUGCAUUCGAUACUGCCGUGCUUGAGGACUGGAGAGGAGACUGGAAUUUACGGUGUAGCGGUGAAAUGCGUAGAUAUCGAGAGGAACACCAGUGGCGAAGGCGAGUCCCUGGACAACUCCUGACACUGAGGCACGAAAGCUAGGGGAGCAAACAGG